RNAcentral lists this ribosomal RNA (375 nucleotides) under uncultured bacterium. RNAcentral describes it as "bacterial SSU rRNA". It matches the Rfam family "Bacterial small subunit ribosomal RNA", at positions 523 to 898 of the family's 1533-position model. The record is from RNAcentral.
AUACGUAGGGGGCGAGCGUUGUCCGGAAUUACUGGGCGUAAAGGGCGUGUAGGCGGCCGAGCAAGUCAAGUGUGAAACGCCUCGGCUUAACCGAGGCAUUGCACAUGAAACUGCUUGGCUUGAGUGCAGGAGAGGGAAGUGGAAUUCCUAGUGUAGCGGUGAAAUGCGUAGAUAUUAGGAGGAACACCAGUGGCGAAGACGACUUCCUGGACUGUAACUGACGCUGAGGCGCGAAAGCGUGGGUAGCAAACAGGAGUAGAUACCCUGGUAGUCCACGCCGUAAACGAUGGGUACGAGGUGUGGGUAGUUCACACUAUCCGUGCCGCAGCAAACGCAAUAAGUACCCCGCCUGGGGAGUACGGCCGCAAGGUUGAA